GGCACGACUGCAAAACGCAGGGAGAGCUCUCGGAGGUCUGCACCUUUUGGGCAUCUGCUGGUGCUGAGGCUUGCAGGGCUAAAUGUGGGAAGAAAAGCUUGUGUGGUGGCCGCCAUCCUCGGCAUGUGGAGAGAAGGUCCAGAAGCCGAACAGAUCCUGCCUGGUGCGGGGCUGGGAACCAGCCAUCAUCUCAGCCCUUGGCCGAGGCUCUCAGACCAAAGACGAGCAGGAACAGGCAGACUGAAAGGAGAGCUGCUCUCAAAAGCUCUUCUGUCCGAUAUAUGCUUUUCUUUGCUGCUCUGAGUCAGUAUUUGGUCUUACACUUUUGCUUUUCCCAGCCCAGCUAGGAGUGGAAGCGCUGGAGUUCCUGAGUACUUGGUAGCGAAUGUGACUAAGGAAUAAAAACAGUGAUUCACGCGUGU
Non-coding RNA from Anas platyrhynchos (mallard), 422 nucleotides. The record is from RefSeq and is a predicted model, not a curated record. NCBI's taxonomy places the organism in Eukaryota, Metazoa, Chordata, Aves, Anseriformes, Anatidae.